This is a long non-coding RNA of Taeniopygia guttata (zebra finch), 968 nucleotides long. RefSeq lists it as uncharacterized. The record is from RefSeq and is a predicted model, not a curated record. NCBI's taxonomy places the organism in Eukaryota, Metazoa, Chordata, Aves, Passeriformes, Estrildidae.
GGGGCGCGGGGCUCGCUGUGGGUUUUGGUGGGUCCGUGCGUGUGUAGGGUUCAGAAACCUCUUUGUGUAGGCUUUUAUACAGCGUGUGGAUUUUAAUCCCACUGUGCUGGGAGCUGUCCCAGGGAGAGCCUGAUGUGGCAGAGAGGGAAACCCUGGCUGUGGUCCAUGAGGUGCCAAGAUGUGUGGGGGAGCAUCUUCCACUGUGGAGUCAUCACUAAGGGCUUUGCUACUUAAAACCCUUGUUUGGAAGCAUUUUUCCUUUCACCAUCAGUUUUCAACAUGACAGGAGAGGGAAAUACAACAAGCAGGGAUCAAGCAAAGACUCUGUCUGGUCUGAGCAACAAAGCUCAAGAGUAGCUGCUGCUGCAAUUUGUCUCCUCGGUUUUCCAAGAAAACACAAAUAAUCAUUGAAAUGCUAAAUGUGGGAAGUCUGAAAGACAUUGGGUAAAUCCUUCCAUGGAUUCACCACAUUCAACCACAUUUUCCCAACCAACAAAGAGAAAGAAGGGAAAGCUGAUCUCUGCAGGAAAAAAUCCAGCCAGAAAUUAGGAUUGAGGUGGAGGAUUUCUCAGGGACAAACUCCAAAAUGACAUUGCUUGGAGGAAAGCUUAGAACACCCAUCAGGACUUGUGGAAGGCAGCACUGGAGGGAGGUGGGGAUGGAAAAAGGAGAGUUGUGAUGGUGUGGGAGAUACUGAAGCACAUCUGUGUCAUCCCAUGACUUGGUCGUGCUCCUCUCCAUAUUUUUAGAAACUCAGAGGGAGAAAUAACAGGAAUUAAGAAGGGGCUGCCAUUGGUGUUGUAGUAACUCCCAGGCCAGAGGAAAAAGUCUUUUCUAAGUAAAGUAAUCCAGGUACAUCAUCUUUCAAGAGAAAGCUGAGCACAGGUUGCUUACUUAGCCCAGGUGCUGCAAGGUCUAUGCUGGCAGCUCAGCCCACCAUGUCUGCAAUACAUAUAUACAUACAUACA